This 252-nucleotide ribosomal RNA is filed under the name uncultured bacterium. Its description in RNAcentral is "partial 16S ribosomal RNA". It matches the Rfam family "Bacterial small subunit ribosomal RNA", at positions 524 to 776 of the family's 1533-position model. The record is from RNAcentral.
UACGGAGGAUGCGAGCGUUAUCCGGAUUUAUUGGGUUUAAAGGGUGCGUAGGCGGGAUGCCAAGUUAGCGGUAAAAAUGCGGUGCUCAACGCCGUCGAGCCGUUGAAACUGGCGUUCUUGAGUAGGCGAGAAGUAUGCGGAAUGCGUGGUGUAGCGGUGAAAUGCAUAGAUAUCACGCGGAACUCCGAUUGCGAAGGCAGCAUACCGGCGCCCUACUGACGCUGAGGCACGAAAGCGUGGGUAGCAAACAGG